Molecule: long non-coding RNA, 2396 nt
Filed under: Cucumis sativus (cucumber)
Lineage: Eukaryota; Viridiplantae; Streptophyta; Magnoliopsida; Cucurbitales; Cucurbitaceae
Description: long non-coding RNA (CSAT_LNC000511)
Source: RNAcentral
UUAUUUUAUUCUUCAUCUAAAGAAUUCAAGCUUGAAGGCUAUUGGGAUAGUGACUGGGCUGGAGAUACUAAUGAUCGAAAGAGCACUAGUGGAUUUGUUUUCUUCGUUGGUAAUACUACAUUUACUUGGAGUUCUAAGAAGCAACCUAUUGUAACUUUAUCCACUUGUGAGGUCGAAUAUGUUGCUGCAGCUUCAUGUGUUUGUCAUGCAGUUUGGUUAAGAAAUUUGUUAAAGACAAUUGAAAGUUUGCAAGAUGAUCCAACUGUGAUCCAUGUAGACAAUAAGUCAACAAUUGCUCUGGCAAAGAAUCCUGUGUUCCAUGAUCGUAGCAAACACAUUGAUACUAGAUUUCAUUUCAUCAGAGAUUGCAUUUCAAGGAAGGAGGUUCAUGUUGAAUAUGUGAAUUCUGAAGAUCAAGUUGUAAAUAUUUUCAGGAAGCCACUCAAAGUUAAUGUGUCUAACAAGUUAAGAAGUUCACUUGAAGUUUUUCAAAAAUCAUGUUUAAGGGAGGAUGUUGAAAAUUGAACAUGCUUUAAAUAAAUAAGUUAUAUGUGAAUUGAUUUAUGAGAGUUAGAAAAAGUUAAAGGAUGUGAGUUAAAAUAUUUAGAGUUAAUUUAGUAUGAGUUUUUAUAUUAACUAAGUGUGGGUUUUAGAUUGUUGUGUUUAAUUUGUGGUAUGAGUUAUGCUCAUGACAAUUCUAUAAAUAGGAUUGAAAUGUUGUAAUCUAAAUUAUCCAAGUGAGUAGAAUACACAUAAAAAAGUUAGAGUCUUCCAAUAAAGUUUAUUUUUUCUCUUAAAUAUUCUAUUUGGUAAUUAUCUAUUUAGGGUGUUUAUCGUGUAGAUGUUGUGUUUGAUGAAGAAGCAUCAUGAAAUUGGAAUGAUGAACCAGAAGACUACAAUUUUUUUGUUUUCCGUGAUGAUCAUGAUGAGCCUAGUGACAUUGCUUCCCCAUCAACACCACCAACAUCGCCAAUCACUCCACAACAAAGCACACACCUUCAUCAUUUGCAAGAAGUUCAAGUGAAGGGCCUUGUGGCAUGAGAAGUUUACGAGACAUAUAUAUGAAACUGAAGAGUUAAGUCAAAGUUUUAAUAAUCUUACUCUCUUUUGUUUAUUUGGUGGCAGUGAACCUUUGAAUUUUGAAGAAAGCUUCGCAAAAUGACAAAUGGAAGAUUGCUAUGGAUGAAGAGAUAAAAGCCAUAAAAAAGAACGAUAGGUGGGAACUUUCUACUCUUCCAAAUGGAAAGAAAGGAGUAGGUGUCAAAUGAGUGUCGAUAAAAAGAAAUGAAAAAUGAGAACUGGAGAGAUACAAAGCAAGAUUAGUUCCAAAAGGAUAUUCUCAAAGAAAAGGCAUCGAUUACAAUGAAGUGUUUGCUCCAGUUGCUCGUUUGAAAACCAUAAGAUUGUUAAUUGCGCUUGCUACUCAAAAUAAUUGGAAGAUCUCUCAGAUGGAUGUCAAAUCAGCAUUUUUGAAUGGAUAUCUAGAAGAAGAAGUCUACUUAGAACAACCUCUUGGUUAUUUUGUGAAAGGUCAAGAGGAUAAAGUUCUAAAAUUGAAGAAGGCAUUACACGGAUUGAAACAAGCACAAAAAAUGUGGAAUAGCAUAAUCAACAAAUAUUUCCUUGAUAAUGAGUAUUUGAGGUGCCUUUAUGAACAUUCCCUUUAUAUUAAAACUAAUGUUCAUUGAGAUAUUUUGGUGGUUUGUUUGUACGCGUGGAUGACUUAAUUUUUACAGGAAAUUGUGCAAGUAUGUUUGAAGAUCUCAAGAAGGCGAUGACCCAAGAAUUUGAAAUGACAGAUAUAGGGUUGAUAUCAUAUUAUCUUGGCAUUGAGGUGAAGCAAACAGAGGAAGGUAUUUUCAUCUCUCAAGAGUGGUAUACUAGAGAAAUUCUAGAGAAGUUCAAUAUGAUUAAUUCUAAGUCUGUUACAACUCCGAUUGAAACUGGGACCAAAUUGUCCAAAUAUGAAGAAGGAGAUGUUGAUCCUUCAUAUUUCAAAAGUUUGGUUGGGAGUUUGAGAUAUUUAACUUGCACACGACCAAAUAUUCUUUUCAGCAUUGGAUUGAUGAGUCGAUUUAUGGAAUCUCCUACAACUACUCAUUUGAAAGUGGCAUAGAGAAUUCUUCGUUACCUCAAAGGUACGCUUGACUAUGGGUUAUUUUAUUCUUCAUCUAAAGAAUUCAAGCUUGAAGGCUAUUGGGAUAGUGACUGGGCUGGAGAUACUAAUGAUUGGAAGAGCACUAGUGGAUUUGUUUUCUUCGUUGGUAAUAUAUACUACAUUUACUUGGAGUUCUAAGAAGCAACCUAUUGUAACAUUAUCCACUUGUGAGGUCGAAUAUGUUGUUGCAGCUUCAUGUGUUUGUCAUGCAGUUUAGUUAAGAAAUUUGUUAAAGACA